Molecule: long non-coding RNA, 1881 nt
Filed under: Numida meleagris (helmeted guineafowl)
Lineage: Eukaryota; Metazoa; Chordata; Aves; Galliformes; Numididae
Description: lncRNA (ENSNMEG00000010304.1)
Source: RNAcentral
AAGGCCAUGACUGUGCUCCGCGUGCUGCUCCGCCAGGCAGACAGGCAGAAGGUGGCCCCCACUGCCCUGCGGCUGCCUGAGCUACUGCUGCCCUUCUUCCACGAGUCCGGCUGCACGAGGGAGCUGUCCAUCCUUCUCUGUAAGGAUGCCAUGGAGGUUGCAGGGGACACCCAGAGAGGGAAGAUGAAGAAGGAAGCACGGAACAUCGUCCUCCCUCUCUUCAUCCACCUGCAUGACCAGGACCAGAGCGUGGCUCAGGCCUCCUGGGAAGCCCUUCUUUGCGCAGCCAAGCUGCUGAAGCGCAAGCGCCUCAGGUACUUGCUGAAGACAGCGCAGACACAGAGGAUCGGCGAGUGCCUGGUGAGGACAAGUGGCCCAGAGUUCCCAAGACCUGGCCCAAACGAGGCCUGCCAGCCAUGGCCCGGGGCGUGGGGCCGGUCCCUGUGCCUGUACCACGGCUGCGGGCCGCAGGGCACAGCCUGCCGCCGUUUGCGCCCCUCUUUCCCUCAAGCGCGUGGCGGCUCGGCCUCUUCUGCGGCCUCCUCUCUCUCCCGGAGGCCUGGCCUGCUCCUGCUGGCUGGCUGUGGGGGCCGGGGUCCCGGCAGCUGAAGGCAGCGGAGGCUGGUCCCAGGCACGGGGCUGGCCUGCCCCAGGGGGAGAGUCUGUGUCAGCCCCAUCCACGGGUGCUGUCUUCCAGCUGGUGGGCCACGGCGGCAGAGUGGAGCAGUUCCUGGAGCAGAGCCUGUCCUACCUGUGGAGCCCCCAGGAGCCCCUGCAAGAGGCGGCCAUCAGGUUCAUUGGUGAGCCACGAGCCCUGGCCCUUCUGUGCCGCACAGCAGCUUGGCCCCGGCGCUGGCUGCUGCUGACUGAGCCACGUGCCCGUGGAGCCAUGCCGGCCCAAGGUGGGGCCGGAGCGCUCGCGGCACUCCCUGCUGCCUUCCGCCAGCCCUGCCCACAUAGCGGGUGCUGGUGGGAGCCUUGCUGGGUGCCUCACAGCCUCCUUGGGUGCUGCAGUUGCGGGUGCGUGGCCAGGCCGGCAGGAAUGCUGGGGGAAUUGGGCUGUGCUGGGGAAUGGGCUGUGCUGGGGGGAUGGGCUCUGCUGGGGGGAUGGGCUGGCCAGUGGGAUGUGUGACGGGCUGUGUGUGCCUAGGGCUUGCCGGGCAGCACUUGAGAGAUGGGCGUGAGGAGAAGCUGGACAACAUCAUCGAGGGUGAGUGCGGUGUGGCAGGGAGAAGAAAAGUCCCUGGGCAGCGAGCAGCAAGCCCGGUGCCAACCCAGGAGGGCUCUGCAAGCCCUGUGGACAACGGGCAGUACGGGCGAAGCAAGGAGCAUUUGCUGCCAGCCCCUUUGCAGCUGAUCCCGCCGUCUCCCUGCUGGCCCUGGGAAGAGCUGUGUGGGGUGGCCUCGGCAGGAGGGUUCCCCGGCUUGCUUUGCUCAGACGUGGGCUCUGACCUCCACUCUGUUCUCUUCCGUGUCAGCCCUGAGGAGUUUGGAGGACACCGGCAGCCCUUCUGUUUCCACGCUGGUGGCUGAAACGGUCCGGAUCCUGAGGACUGCCCCUGGAUUCAGCCUGCAGGCUGUGCGCUCUCGGCUCUUCAGCAUGUGAGAGAGGAGGCUGCACGCCCCAAGAGCUGGCUGGCUGCGCUGCUGCAGCUGUGCUCAGGGCUGACCCCAGCUCCGGCCCUCGGGGUCAGCCCUCCACCCCGCACGUGCUCCUGGUCAGCCCCUCCGCUGGGCUUCCCCAAGAGACACAGCCCUCUUGCUUCACUGUGGAGGUGCUGAAGGAAGCCAGUGCUCCAUGAGCUUCACUCGCAAUAGAGAAGCCUGUGUAAUUUACUGUAUUUACUAAUAGAAAAUAAAUAUUGUCUCUAUUACUGAUGC